GAUGAACGCUGGCGGCGUGCCUAAUACAUGCAAGUCGAGCGAACGGACGAGAAGCUUGCUUCACUGAUGUUAGCGGCGGACGGGUGAGUAACACGUGGAUAACCUACCUAUAAGACUGGGAUAACUUCGGGAAACCGGAGCUAAUACCGGAUGAUAUUUUGAACCGCAUGGUUCAAAAGUGAAAGACGGUCUUGCUGUCACUUAUAGAUGGAUCCGCGCUGCAUUAGCUAGUUGUUAAGGUAACGGCUUACCAAGGCAACGAUGCAUAGCCGACCUGAGAGGGUGAUCGGCCACACUGGAACUGAGACACGGUCCAGACUCCUACGGGAGGCAGCAGUAGGGAAUCUUCCGCAAUGGGCGAAAGCCUGACGGAGCAACGCCGCGUGAGUGAUGAAGGUCUUCGGAUCGUAAAACUCUGUUAUUAGGGAAGAACAUAUGUGUAAGUAACUGUGCACAUCUUGACGGUACCUAAUCAGAAAGCCACGGCUAACUACGUG
This 497-nucleotide ribosomal RNA is filed under the name uncultured bacterium. RNAcentral's name for it is "partial 16S ribosomal RNA". It matches the Rfam family "Bacterial small subunit ribosomal RNA", at positions 28 to 507 of the family's 1533-position model. The record is from RNAcentral.